This is a non-coding RNA of Jatropha curcas, 1902 nucleotides long. NCBI's taxonomy places the organism in Eukaryota, Viridiplantae, Streptophyta, Magnoliopsida, Malpighiales, Euphorbiaceae. The record is from RefSeq and is a predicted model, not a curated record.
GUUACGUGCUUUCAUGGAUUGGUGAUAGUUUAGUCAUCCAUAACAUCUUACAAAAUGUGAAUCUUGAAAACUAGCUGAAUUGAUGUUUUCACAAUUUUGCUAUGUGGUGUUGUGUAUCCUGCUUCUCAUGGGAAAUACAAUGGGGUGAUGAAUUUGUUUAUCCUUUCUAGCUGCAAACACCGACAUAAUUCAGUUUCAAAGCAUAUAAAAGGAAACCAAAAAAACUUACUUGUGAUUAGCUUAUUUAUACUUAUCCACCUUGUGAUCGAGGUUUAUUAUAGAACACUAGUUAUUUUGUAAUAUUGACCCUCUUGCAGGUUAGAAAUUUCUUUUGUUUGCUGCUUGCUCGUGUUUGUUUGACCUCAAAUUUUUGUUCAUCUUUAAGUUGUAGUGGUUUCUUGUGAGUCGAAUUAUGAUAACAAGUAAAAAUUUCAUGUGUUGUUUGAUGUUUUUAGUUGUUAGUUAUUUUUGUCUCUAUGGUUUGAGGUAGGGGUUAAGCCAUUCAGGUUGAAAGGCAAAUAGCAGACAGCCAAGCAUUUUGGUUUUUGUUUGUUUAUCUAUUAUAGUGCUCAAACGGCGUGUGAACGUCAGCUGUCAGAAAAUAUGAGCUGUUUUGAAGGAAUGUAUAACCUAUGCUUGAACAAGAUUAUGAAAAUGAAUCUCUUGGAAGAUCUCACUCACCUUGGACUUGCACACUUGUAGCAAAAGAGGAAAAAUUUAAAAAGAAAAGAGAAAACAGAUUGGAUACUGUGUCGAGAAACUAAGCUUAUGCUGUUGCUUUUAUUAAGCACUUUAAAAGUAUCCCUUGAUACCCUUUAAGUUUGUUUUGGACAUCUUAUUUUUUACAUUAGCCAAGGAGUGUUACAUUGGCCAAGGAGUGUACUUCUCAGAAUAUGGUAGUACCUAGGUUAUAGUAUUUGGUGACUAUCUCAAAUUUCCUGCAGCACAAUCGAGCUACACCUAGCUGUUAGGUUGUGAAUUCAGUGCUUCUCUUUUUCUGUAAAGCCCAAUUUUUAGCUGCAGGGCCCUUGUGGAUCUUUCGUAAGGAGGCCCAAGUCUAUUGUCAAUGCAAGCUGCUUUGAACAAGCUCUAUAAUUGAAGGAGAUUCCAAAUCCUUCUUAGUUUGAAAAUUAUUGCAUGCCUCAUAGUAUAAAUUUAGGUCCAUGUCCUUAUGUUGGAAGAAAACCCAAAUUUUUGUUAGCGUGAGUGAGGAAGUACUUGACCUAUUGAAUAAAAAUCAUUCAUUCAUUUAGUUGCUGGGUAUCACCGAAGUGAAUGGCAUGAGUAAGCAAAGGUUUUGAAAGAGCUUUGUUGAAAAAUCAAUUUUCAUGCAUGCCGUUGUUAUUUGUUGAUUUUAGACAGCUGCGAUUUGAUAAACACAGUAUUUGAUAUCAAUGUAGAAGUGUAUGAACUCAUGCUGCCGACCUGCUGUCCAAGGAUAAAAGUCUUUCUUCUUCUUACUUUUACUCUGUUGCUUUGGGUGGUGCCUCGGUGUUUGGGGUUUCAGGCUGGCUUAGUUGCAAAUGGGUCGGGAUGCAAGAAUUUUCUUCACCGUUGAACCCAUACAUAAGAAAGGAAUUUCCAGUUGUAUUCUCUUCCCUUGUACCAUAAACCUGAAAGAAUAAGCCCAUGGUUGAACUUAGCAAUGAUUUUAGAUUCAUUGUCUAUAUAGUCUUAACUUUUCAGAAUAUGAAGUUGGUUAAGUGAGUUACUGUGGUUGCCUGAAGUGUCUGAGUAAUCAAGUCUUAUUACCUUCUUGUACAACUCAAUGUUUUCUUGACGUAUGAGGUUUACCUUCUUAUACAGUUCAACAUUUUCCUUAUGAAAAAGGUUUCCCUGUGAUGAGAACUGGAAAAUUAAUAUUGGAAUGGAAAUAGGUUAUAACAGCAACUUGUGAGAAAA